GGCAGAGUAGGUGCUUGUACGAGAGAAGUAGAUAGAUAGAUAGAGAGAGAGAGAGAGAGAGAGAGAGAGAGCGAGAGAAAGAGAGAGAGAGAGAGAACGAGAGCGAUAGAGAAGAAAGCGAGAAGGGAGCGCGUGAUCACGUGUGAUCUAGGAAAGACGUUGCGUCACCACUAGUAAGCGCAUCACAGUAGAACGUUAACGCGCAAGCAGCAGACGCACACGCGCACGCACGCACGGACAAGCAGUCAGUCACACGCGCGCACGCACGGACUAGCAGUCAGUCACACGUUUGCAUACGGACAAGAAGCAGACAAACGCGCGCACGCAAGGACUAGUAGUCAGUCAGCGCCGCGGUACGGGAAUACGGUGCAAGCUCGACGAACCUCUAUCAGACAACAGCAACAACAGAUAGCAACAGGCAGUAACAGGCAGUAACAGCAGGCGACAUCGAGCCGUCAACAUGCUAGCGAGCGCAGUCCGAGCCGCCACCGUGCUAGUGUGCGUCGUACUGCUGAUGGUGACAAGAGCUGCAGCAGAAGCAGAAGACGCCAUAUACUACGACGCGGACAUGGAACCCUUGCGACAGCUGUCUAACAUGCGCAAGAGACCCUUCUGUAACGGCUUUGGUGGUUGCCGAGGUGCGUUCGGUUCGAAACGGGGCACGGAUGACGUCACCGACUCCGCGGAUCCGGAUUUGGCAAAUGACGUCAGCGGACGCCUGCGCGAAGCGGUUAUAUGGAGGAUUCUCGGCCAAAAACUGCGAGAGCUACAGGCAAUGGAUCACAACGAAGAACGGGAGAUGGAAGAGUCCGCGCCAGCGCAGAAAUUUUCAGAAGGGCACCUAAGAUUUUUUCGGUAAAGAUCCCCUAAAGUUUGAACAGACUGUAAGAUAACAUCCAUCGCUAUAAAGCAGCAGGAGGAGCGAAUUUUCUGCAGAGGGUUCUUCGACUGCAUGUCAAGGAGAAGAGCGAGGAGGUCGACGAGGCAACGGUUCGCUGUCGCCGAGGCGAAAUGAUUCCGCGUCGGCUGCACUCAUCUCUUCCACAUUCCGCUAGACUUCGCUAGAGCCUGCCGUUUCCAACAUGGCGCCCGCCGUUACGGUCAGCGAAUGUAAUCCAUCGGCGGAGGCGGGAAACAACCUGCGAUGGAAAUCUCCCAAACGCGCGCGCGCACACACACACACACACACACACACACACACACACACACACACACACACACACACACACACACACACACACACACACACACUUAUUUACGGGGAUUUCUGAAUUGCAAUGAAAAUACAUAAGCAUAGAUGUACGUGGGAGCUCAUAAGCAUUACCCGUGUCAACGGGGUGCGGUCUUCGGGGUGAGUGUAGUAAUCUGCGAGUAAUUAAUGGUAAAAAAAACCUUCAAAGUCAAACUUAAAGGGCAACUACUGAUCAACUACUAGCAAACGGAUCACGAUUCUGUUGUGUUCUAACUUUCAAAUCACGCCCGGCAUGCUUUUGCUAUCAACAGUUUAAACGGUUGCAGUCAAUAAUUAAAAAUUAACGAAUAUUAUACGAGUAAAUCCGAAAAAACGUCUGACUGUCUAAGAUUAUUUAGACUCUAAGUAGAAGGGGUUUCAAUUAUAUAAAUAUCAAGUGUAUCACGAUUUUAGAAUAAUAUAUGGGCCUAUCUGUCUGGCUCUUGUGUCGCUUAGUACUGACGUCCUGAUUAUAGUGAAUGUAUAAUACGAAACGUUUCCGUUUUAUUUUGAUAUAAAAAUCAAUAUAUCAAAGCUGAUAGGCUUCAAAUUUGGAUAUUAAUAUCAAAUAAACACACUGGAUAUUUCCAGUUCAUGUA
RNA transcript from Priapulus caudatus, 1830 nucleotides. RefSeq lists it as uncharacterized. NCBI's taxonomy places the organism in Eukaryota, Metazoa, Priapulida, Priapulimorpha, Priapulimorphida, Priapulidae. The transcript is spliced from 4 exons. The record is from RefSeq and is a predicted model, not a curated record.